Non-coding RNA from Podarcis lilfordi (Lilford's wall lizard), 71 nucleotides. NCBI's taxonomy places the organism in Eukaryota, Metazoa, Chordata, Lepidosauria, Squamata, Lacertidae. The record is from the annotation of a GenBank genome assembly.
UGGAUAGCUCAGUUGGUUAGAGCAUGGUGCUGAUAAUGCCAAGGUUACAAAUUCAACUCUGUAUGGGACAG